CCUACGGGCGGCUGCAGUGAGGAAUAUUGGUCAAUGGACGCGAGUCUGAACCAGCCAAGUAGCGUGAAGGAUGACUGCCCUAUGGGUUGUAAACUUCUUUUAUAAAGGAAUAAAACGCGGCACGUGUGCCUUUUUGCAUGUACUUUAUGAAUAAGGAUCGGCUAACUCCGUGCCAGCAGCCGCGGUAAUACGGAGGAUCCGAGCGUUAUCCGGAUUUAUUGGGUUUAAAGGGAGCGUAGAUGGGUUGUUAAGUCAGUUGUGAAAGUUUGCGGCUCAACCGUAAAAUUGCAGUUGAUACUGGCAGUCUUGAGUACAGUAGAGGUAGGCGGAAUUCGUGGUGUAGCGGUGAAAUGCUUAGAUAUCACGAAGAACCCCGAUUGCGAAGGCAGCUUGCUAAACUGUGACUGACAUUGAUGCUCGAAAGUGUGGGUAUCAAACAGGAUUAGAUACCCUAGUAGUC
RNAcentral lists this ribosomal RNA (460 nucleotides) under uncultured bacterium. Its description in RNAcentral is "partial 16S ribosomal RNA". It matches the Rfam family "Bacterial small subunit ribosomal RNA", at positions 338 to 795 of the family's 1533-position model. The record is from RNAcentral.